AUGGCGGCAGCGGCGCUCCGGUCCACCGUCGGGCUCGCGGCGCUGCGGCGCGCGGCCACACUGCAGGCCUCGUGUUGCCUCCCCGCCACCGCCGGCGCCGCCUCCUCCAAUGAUGGUUUGAUCACCCUGCGACGGCAGACCAUGUCCACCGCACCCAUUGGCCGACGCGUCGCCAUGUGGAAGAGGAGGUGCAUGGAUGCUGCUUUCACCGCCGUCGCCGGCGGUGUAUCGCUGGUCGGAAUGUUCGCUUACGUUUGGUUCACCAGCCCAGAGGGGGACUGGGAGCGGACUAGCAGAUGA
This 300-nucleotide ribosomal RNA is filed under the name Triticum aestivum (bread wheat). RNAcentral's name for it is "partial small subunit ribosomal RNA". The record is from RNAcentral. Lineage: Eukaryota; Viridiplantae; Streptophyta; Magnoliopsida; Poales; Poaceae.